UACAGAGGUCCCAAGCGUUGUUCGGAUUCACUGGGCGUAAAGGGUGCGUAGGUGGUCAGGUAAGUCUGAUGUGAAAGCUCUGGGCUCAACCCAGAAAUGGCAUUGGAUACUAUCUGGCUUGAGGAAUGGAGGGGGGACUGGAAUACUUGGUGUAGCAGUGAAAUGCGUAGAUAUCAAGUGGAACACCAGUGGCGAAGGCGAGUCCCUGGACAUUUCCUGACACUGAGGCACGAAAGCUAGGGGAGCAAACAGG
RNAcentral lists this ribosomal RNA (253 nucleotides) under uncultured bacterium. RNAcentral's name for it is "partial 16S ribosomal RNA". It matches the Rfam family "Bacterial small subunit ribosomal RNA", at positions 524 to 776 of the family's 1533-position model. The record is from RNAcentral.